Molecule: ribosomal RNA, 406 nt
Filed under: uncultured bacterium
Lineage: Bacteria
Description: partial 16S ribosomal RNA
Rfam family: Bacterial small subunit ribosomal RNA
Source: RNAcentral
AUUGAACGCUGGCGGCAGGCCUAACACAUGCAAGUCGAACGAGUGGCGGACGGGUGAGUAAUGUCUGGGAAACUGCCCGAUGGAGGGGGAUAACUACUGGAAACGGUAGCUAAUACCGCAUACCAUCGGAUGUGCCCAGAUGGGAUUAGCUAGUAGGGGGGGUAACGGCUCACCUAGGCGAAGAUCCCUCGCUGGUCUGAGAGGAUGACCAGCCACACGGGAAUGGAGACAGGGUCCAGACUCCUGCGGGAGGCAGCAGUGGUGAAUAUUGCACAAUGGGCGCAAGCCUGAUGCAGCCAUGCCGCGUGUAUGAAGAAGGCCUUCGGGUUGUAAAGUACUGUCAGCGAGGAGGCGUUACUCGCAGAAGAAGCACCGGCUAACUACGUGCCAGCAGCCGCGGUAAUUC